Molecule: unclassified non-coding RNA, 310 nt
Filed under: Hevea brasiliensis (rubber tree)
Lineage: Eukaryota; Viridiplantae; Streptophyta; Magnoliopsida; Malpighiales; Euphorbiaceae
Source: RNAcentral
GAUGAAACGACUUUCGGACAAGGAAAAAUCAAUACUAAUAUGCAUAGCAGAACGUGGACAUUGGGAAAGGUUGGUAUCACAGAAAUUGUCUAGAAAGAAAGUUUUCUCCAUUUGAAGCUAAUUAAUUUAAUUCGCUUGAUAUGGAGUUGAUUGCUUAUUAUAUAUUCCUCUUAUAUUUAUAAUAAAUGGACAUGGAAUUUUUUUUUUAUAUAAAAUAAAUUAUUAAAUUCACAUGUUUCGUAUUUCAUCUAUUAAAUGCAAGAUUCAUUUAUUCUAUCAAUUUUAAUUAAAUAAAAUAAAGGAAGCUAAA